This 253-nucleotide ribosomal RNA is filed under the name uncultured bacterium. RNAcentral describes it as "partial 16S ribosomal RNA". It matches the Rfam family "Bacterial small subunit ribosomal RNA", at positions 524 to 776 of the family's 1533-position model. The record is from RNAcentral.
CACGAGAGCCUCAAGCGUUAUCCGGAAUUAUUGGGCGUAAAGGGUGUGUAGGCGGUCCUGUUAGUCCCGCGUCAAAGCCCUCGGCUUAACCGAGGAGUCGCGCGGGGAACGGCAGGACUCGAGGUCGGGAGAGGUGUAUGGAACUCACGGUGUAGGGGUGAAAUCCGUUGAUAUCGUGGGGAACGCCAAAAGCGAAGGCAGUACACUGGCCCGCACCUGACGCUGAAACACGAAAGCGUGGGUAGCGAAUGGG